This 742-nucleotide ribosomal RNA is filed under the name uncultured eukaryote. Its description in RNAcentral is "eukaryotic LSU rRNA". The stretch from base 261 to 414 matches the Rfam family "5.8S ribosomal RNA". The record is from RNAcentral.
UAAAAGUCGUAACAAGGUUUCUGUAGGUGAACCUGCAGAAGGAUCAUUAGUGAAGAUUUGGGCAGGCCAUACGGACGCCAAAAAGUGUCCCUGGCCGCCUACACCCACUAUACAUCCACAAACCCGUGUGCACUGUCUUGGAGAAAGGCUUCAGAGAAGUUUUUUGUGGCCUCUCUUGGGGUCUUUCUUCGCUACAAACUCGAAUGGUUAGUAUGAACGUGGAACUUGGUUGGACCGUCACUGGCCAACAAACUAUACACAACUUUCGACAACGGAUCUCUUGGUUCUCCCAUCGAUGAAGAACGCAGCGAAACGCGAUAGGUAAUGUGAAUUGCAGAAUUCCGUGAAUCAUCGAAUCUUUGAACGCACCUUGCGCUCUAUGGCAAUCCGUAGAGCAUGCCUGUUUGAGUGCCAUGAAAUCUCCCACCCCAAGCGGUUUUUAAAUGAAACGGCUUGGCGGAUGGGGUCUGGAUGGGUGCCUCUGCCUGCGCUACCUAGCACAGGCUCGCCCGAAAUGCAUGAGCGCCCUGAGACACUUUGCAUCCGCCUCUCUGUUUGGGAGGAGGCGGCCAAGCAGUGUUUUUCUCCUGGCAUGGCAUGAUACGCCAUUUGCUAUGUCGCCUAAAGGAGGAAUGUUUGGUUGUGUCUGCGUGUGCUUCGAACUUGCCUCUGUGGCACAUCCCAAUUUCACUUCUGGUCUCAAAUCAGGUAGGAUCACCCGCUGAACUUAAGCAUAUCAAUA